RNAcentral lists this unclassified non-coding RNA (219 nucleotides) under soil metagenome. RNAcentral describes it as "partial contains 5.8S ribosomal RNA, internal transcribed spacer 2, and large subunit ribosomal RNA". The record is from RNAcentral.
AACAAGGCGUACCUGCGGACCUGCGGAGGGAUCAUUACACAAUACAAUAUGAAGGCUGUCCGCAGCUGGAGUAUUUUAUUACCCUUGUCUUUUGCGCACUUGUUGUUUCCUGGGCGGGUUCGCUCGCCACCAGGACCACCAAAUAAACCUUUUUUAUGCAGUUGCAAUCAGCGUCAGUACAAACAAUGUAAAUCAUUUACAACUUUCAACAACGGAUCU